RNAcentral lists this ribosomal RNA (264 nucleotides) under uncultured Eubacteriales bacterium. RNAcentral's name for it is "uncultured Clostridiales bacterium partial 16S ribosomal RNA". It matches the Rfam family "Bacterial small subunit ribosomal RNA", at positions 76 to 339 of the family's 1533-position model. Lineage: Bacteria; Bacillati; Bacillota; Clostridia; Eubacteriales. The record is from RNAcentral.
UCCAAGUGAAGCAGAGGACAGUGGCGGACGGGUGAGUAACGCGUGGGUAACCUGCCUCAUACAGGGGGAUAACAGUUAGAAAUGACUGCUAAUACCGCAUAAGCGCACGGUGCUGCAUGGCACAGUGUGAAAAACUCCGGUGGUAUGAGAUGGACCCGCGUCUGAUUAGCUAGUUGGUGAGGUAACGGCCCACCAAGGCGACGAUCAGUAGCCGGCCUGAGAGGGUGAACGGCCACAUUGGGACUGAGAUACGGCCCAGACUCC